UGGUACUUAGUUUAAAAUAAAAUAAGUGAUUUCGACCCACUAGACUGUGAUUUAAAUUCACAAAUACCAA
Molecule: transfer RNA, 70 nt
Filed under: Phocoena spinipinnis (Burmeister's porpoise)
Lineage: Eukaryota; Metazoa; Chordata; Mammalia; Artiodactyla; Phocoenidae
Description: tRNA-Arg
Rfam family: tRNA
About the family: Transfer RNA (tRNA) molecules are approximately 80 nucleotides in length. Their secondary structure includes four short double-helical elements and three loops (D, anti-codon, and T loops).
Source: RNAcentral